RNAcentral lists this ribosomal RNA (539 nucleotides) under uncultured Flavobacterium sp. RNAcentral describes it as "bacterial SSU rRNA". It matches the Rfam family "Bacterial small subunit ribosomal RNA", at positions 96 to 633 of the family's 1533-position model. The record is from RNAcentral. Lineage: Bacteria; Pseudomonadati; Bacteroidota; Flavobacteriia; Flavobacteriales; Flavobacteriaceae.
CGGCGCACGGGUGCGUAACGCGUAUGCAACCUACCUUUCACAGAGGGAUAGCCCAGAGAAAUUUGGAUUAAUACCUCAUAGCAUAUAGUCUUGGCAUCAGGAUUAUAUUAAAGUUCCAACGGUGAAAGAUGGGCAUGCGUCCCAUUAGCUAGAUGGUAAGGUAACGGCUUACCAUGGCUACGAUGGGUAGGGGUCCUGAGAGGGAGAUCCCCCACACUGGUACUGAGACACGGACCAGACUCCUACGGGAGGCAGCAGUGAGGAAUAUUGGACAAUGGGCGCAAGCCUGAUCCAGCCAUGCCGCGUGCAGGAUGACGGUCCUAUGGAUUGUAAACUGCUUUUGCACAGGAAGAAACAACGCUACGUGUAGCGUCUUGACGGUACUGUGAGAAUAAGGAUCGGCUAACUCCGUGCCAGCAGCCGCGGUAAUACGGAGGAUCCAAGCGUUAUCCGGAAUCAUUGGGUUUAAAGGGUCCGUAGGCGGUUUAGUAAGUCAGUGGUGAAAGCCCAUCGCUCAACGGUGGAACGGCCAUUGAUAC